RNAcentral lists this ribosomal RNA (253 nucleotides) under uncultured bacterium. RNAcentral describes it as "partial 16S ribosomal RNA". It matches the Rfam family "Bacterial small subunit ribosomal RNA", at positions 524 to 776 of the family's 1533-position model. The record is from RNAcentral.
UACGAAGGGGGCUAGCGUUGCUCGGAAUCACUGGGCGUAAAGCGCACGUAGGCGGCUUCUUAAGUCAGGGGUGAAAUCCUGGAGCUCAACUCCAGAACUGCCUUUGAUACUGAGAGGCUCGAGUCCGGGAGAGGUGAGUGGAACUCCGAGUGUAGAGGUGAAAUUCGUAGAUAUUCGGAAGAACACCAGUGGCGAAGGCGGCUCACUGGCCCGGUACUGACGCUGAGGUGCGAAAGCGUGGGGAGCGAACAGG